Nicotiana tabacum (common tobacco) is the source of this 208-nucleotide non-coding RNA. The record is from RefSeq and is a predicted model, not a curated record. NCBI's taxonomy places the organism in Eukaryota, Viridiplantae, Streptophyta, Magnoliopsida, Solanales, Solanaceae.
CAAGACCCCUAACAUCAACCUUAAGCUCUCUACAAGGGUUUCAAAUAAUACCAUCAUUCUGGGCACGAAAUCAAGAAGCAAUAACACUAGAACGAUCCCCACUGCACUGAGUUGAGUUGUUUGGAGAGUAGCUUGGGAGGUAUUAAAGACUCACCAUGGUUAAGGCUAUCAGCUCAGCGGAGGUGUUGGUGCACUCUACUUGUUCCGG